ACCUUGGCCAAAGCCGGCCAGGCCAUGAUGUCGGCCACCCAAGCGCUCACCUUGGGGCGGGCGUCGAACAGCUUCUUCACAGGUGUCCCCAUCAGGCUGGUCAGGGCCGGGAGGUGGUGGAGGUCGGCCAGGGUGAAGCAGUCGCAGCCUAGGUACUUGGACUGGCUCAGGCGGACCUCGUAGAUGUCGAGGACCUUGGCGAGCUUGGCCUCGUUCUCCUCGACUACUGCAGCAUCCGUGGCCAUGCCAAUUUUCGACUUGUACACGAGCUCCCGAUGCAGCUUCGACGCCGCCGGGUCAAACUGGUGGGCCUCGACUUCCAUCCACACGCUCACGGUUGCCAUGGGUUCGCCCUCGCAAACGAGGGGAGUGCCCUUGUCCUCGUAUACGUGAGCAAUGUAUUGAGUAAUUGCCCUCGAUUCUGCCACCACAAAGAGCAUAAUCAAGACAAACUAUAUUUCGCCUAGUUGUUUAUUGUUCUGUUGACUGAGUGAACAGUCAAAGAUUGACUAAACACUUGAUCUUUCAUCAUGAUUGCACGAUCUAUCGGCAAUCGAAUCAGCGCCCUUUGACUAAAUACUUUAAUCUUUAAUGAUGGUCACACAAUAUAAUACAUCAGUAAUAGAAAGACUUACCGAAUAGCUUCAAAUCUCCGUCCUCGAAGACCGGGACUUGACCGAAAGGCUGCACAGAGAGAUCGAGAAACGUUAGAUCCAAGAGACGACGGAGGAUUUCUUGAAAGACCACGUCGAGACCCCAGGACCAGAAAAUAGUUAGGAAUACUGUGGCACGGGCGGUGGGCGGGGACGGACACUUACGUUGAGGGCGAGGAAAUGCUCCUUCUUGUGCUCGCCGGCUCGCAAGUUGACGAAGACGAACUCGAACUCGAGGUCCUUCUCGUGGAGGGCAAUGAGGAGCCGCAUCGUCGGGGCGGAGAAGACGCUUCCGUGGACCUUCGUAGCCAUGUUCCUGUCCGUCGGCGAGAUUCUUAUCUCCCAUUCUUGGAAAGGAGAUACUAUUGUUGUAUUAUUCUUAUUUCCUUUUUCUGCUAAAUUCCACUAGAGGUGAGCAUUGGAUCGACCCUGGAUCGGCCCAACCCUAUUGGUCCUAAUCCGGUUCCUAGGGAGACUGGGUUAGUUUUUAGUCCUAGAAUUUCUAGACCAGUACUGUGCGGGUCAGUUCUCGAUCAGUCCAACCCGGAUCAACCCUGACUCUCUAUAUAUAUAUAUAAUAUUAUUUAUAAUUUUUUUAUAUAGAGAAAACCCUAAAAUAAAUAGUGUCAACAGCAUUAAAUGGCUAUUUAGUAAUGAGUUCAAGUAAUUUUACAUUAUUCUUUAAUAACUUGAAAAUCAUAAUUUAUGAAGGAGGAAAAUGUUUUUGUGAGAAGUCCUCACGGUGUCCAAAAAAGUAUAAACAGCUCCUUAUGGCAUCCCCUAUAGUAUUUGUUCUCUUCUGUCUUAUUUGUUAUCUUAAUCUUCAAUUUGUCAAAAUCGAAAUAAACAACUUCUCCACUCGCCACUCGACACUCACCUUGCUCGCUUUAGGUCAUUCGUGCCACUCGCCGCUUGAUUCUCACUUGGCUUGCUACUCCCCGCUCAACAUUCGAUGCUCAUUCUUUCGACGCUCACCCCACUUAACCCUUAAUGCUUGCCUUUCUUAACUGACCUUACUUAUCAUCGAACUCAUUGGGUUAGUACGGUCAUUGGUUGCCAUUUCAAAGAGUACAAAAAAUAAAAUAAAAAUUAUUAGUUGGUUCUAGGUUGACCUGGAAACCGGACUAAACCCAUUGAGUCAAUCCGGUCUUUAAUGGCUUUUUUAAGAAGUACAAAAAAUGAAAUAAAAAAUUAUCGGUUGGUCUCGGGUUGACCCUGGAAUCAGACCAAACCCAUUGGGUCGGUCCGGUCCUCGGUUCCAAGCUCAAUUAGGUCGGUCAUCGGUCCUAAAAAUUGAGGACUAGCACUGUGCAGGUUGGUCCUAGGGUUAGGGGGUGGAUCGGUCCAACCCGAACCAUGCUCACUCCGAAAUUCCACACCAUCUAUCAUGGCACUACUUUUUUCGUGGUCUGAAAGCUUCUCAGAAAAUGAAAUACAUCGGUGGCAGUUGGGAUUGGACCGCCUAAACUUGAAACUGUGUGGAUUCUACCAGCCGAUUUGGUCCAAUACUAAAGCAAUGAGAAAAAAAAAACAAUCAGUUCCAUUAGACCGGAUCAGAAUUGAACCGAAUCGGUGAUGUGGUCCGAUUUCCGAUUCUAAGACCAAUCGAUCCAAUCCUUAGUUCUUAUUUUUGGGAACAUGACUGUCUCUUGGUCCGAUUUCCAAUUUCACCUUGGAACUGGAUCGGAUUGAGAACCGAUCACCCUUACUUGAAAGGAGACAACAAAUCCCUAUGCAACAGGUAGGCAUAGCAAUAAGUUACUCAUGCGAAACGUGCCUCUACUCAGAAGGAUAAUUUUUUGAAAAGCAAAAAGGCAAUUCUCUCUUUAGAAAGACUUUGAGAAAACAUUAAUUAUGUUUCAAAAAUGAGAAAGAAUGGAAAGAUUUUUCGGGUGGGUCGAAAAUAUAGAAAACUUCUAAUUUUACUUAAGGCAUAAAAAGAGUGUAAAAUUUUUUCCCCUUUUUUUGGAAUUUUCUUCUCUCUUCCAUUGACCAUGAUUGCAAACAUAAGGAAAGGGCUAAAAGUUGAAUUUGAUUUCUUUUUUGUCGAAGAAAAUUUUAUUGAAAUUACGAACAUGGUCUAAAGAGCUCGGAGCAAGGCCAAUCUAAACAAAGGAGGGCCCAAAGGCUUUAAGGAGGAAAAGAAAGCCGGUUUUGUGGAAGUGAGCCAAUCCGUCAUGUCUUCGCAGCUCAGUCGGUUACCGCAUUAGAAGCCCGCGAACAAUGGACUAUGCAAAUGGAUGGAUGGGCCUUGAGUAGCUGUAAAAAAUUCACGAUAAGAAGUCGCUCCUCCCGGUUGAAAUUAUCUGUAAACCCGCUUAUCAAAGCUUCCACGAGAUCGGCAUGGUUGAGCUCAAUUGCAUGGUUUGCGGGACCAUCUUCACUCAAAACUACAAGCUGGAUUGCUUCAAGGACGGCUAGGGCUUCCACCUAAGAAGGUGAUGAUAUCUUCACCAAUUUGGGGAAAGCCGUAAUAAUAAUACAAGCACGAUCUCUGUAGAUACCAGCUAUGACGCCAUCCACCAAUCCAUUGACAAGGGAGCCAUCAACAUUGGAUUUUAGGAUUUUCUCCUCCAAUGAGAGCCUAGGUAUACAACUUAUAAAGGUGGGAUCUUUUAUUGUAUUUGAUGUAUGAAAGAUCCAUUUUAAGUAAUUUGGUCGCUAGAAAUAUGUUGAUUGCAUGGCAUGUCGUGCAUUCGGAAAUUUGCCCUGAAAUACAUUAUAAAAAGAAGACAUUAAUGAACUUCUAUGAAAUGGCUUCAUGGGAUUCAGGCAAUUGUCUUGAUCAUGGGAUAUCAUUGAGACAUAGGAAUCCGUAUUAUUAAAAGAUUUCCUACAAUUAUUUCUAGUAUGGAAUGAAUCAAUCAUCCACUUUGGUAUCUUAGGGUCCGUUUGUUUCGCGGAAAACAAUUUCCGGGAAAAUAUUUUCCAAAAUUACCGAUGUACCGAUGGCGGAAAAUAGGUAGUCAAAGAAAAUGUACCGAUGGAGAUCCUAAUAUUGUGAAAAAUGAUUUCUUCUUUUGAAAAGAGGAAAACAUUUUCCAUAACUUCUUCCACCUUGUUUCUUUUCACCAACACAUUUAUGCUUUCUUUUUCUUUCUUGUUUUUUUUAAUCGAGUUUUUAAUUUUUUUUCCUUUUCUUUUUUUCUUUUCUUCCUUGGUGGCCGUUUCAUCUUCUUCCUUGGUGGUCGGUUGCCAGCCACGGCGGCGGCCGGCAAUCGGCUGCAAGCCAGCUUGAGCCUUGCCCCAGGCUAGCAAGGCUUCGCCUAGCCCAAUCUGGCGAAGGGAGCUCGCCCAAUCCUUGCGAGCUUGGGCCUCGCCAAAUCGGGCGAGGCAGAGCCUUGCCGACUUAGGGUAGAGCUCGAACCUCGCCAGAUCCAGCGAGCUAGGUGAGGCUCGGGCCUCGCCCGAGCUCGCCAGAGGUUUGCCAGGCUCUAGUGAGCCGUGAGCUUGCCGAAUCUGGCAACGAAGCUUGGGCUCAUGAUCCAUAGGAACCCGAGCUCCACUGCCAGAUCGACAAGCUCGAGCGAGAUUGGCCGAGCCUCAAGUUCGUCGGAUCUGGCGACUAGGUGUUGGUCGGCCGCCAGGUAGCCGACCAUCAUCAGGCAUGCGGCAGUGGAGGAAGGUGGAGCCGGGAGGAAGAAAGAGGAGGAAGAAGGAAGGAAAAAAGAAAAAGAAAGAAAUAAUAAAAAUUUCGAUUUUUUAAAAAUAGAAAUAAUUAAAAUUUUAUUUUAAAAAAAUAUAAAAAAAUAAAACUAAUUUUUUAGUCAAUUAAAAAUAUUAAAAUUCAAUUUUUGAUAAUCUUUCCCAAACAAUUAAAUUAGCUAACGAAUGGUGGAAAAUAUUUUCCACUUGAAGUUUUGGUUUCGGCCAAACACCGGAAAAUAGUCAUUUUCCUGGAAAAUGACUUUUAGGAAAAUGUUUUCCGGAAACAUAUUUUCCAUGAAACGAACGGACUCUUAUUGAACAAAAAUGGUGAUAUUGUUCCUUGAUUGAUCAAUAAUUACGAUUUUUGGGAAGUAUCAUGAUCAUAAAAAAAUAAUGGCUUCCAUUUUUACAAAUGAACAAUUUGAAGACCUAUUGAUUCUAACAACUAAUUGCAGAGUUGAUCAUUCGGAUCUUUCAAUUCAUAGACAUGGAUCUCGAACCUAUGAAUGGGGGUAUUCACGAAACUCACAAAGAAAAAAAGGAAGUGAGUUAGACAAAAAAAAAAGAAGAGGAAACUUGGACAAAAUGAAACGAAGUGACUUAGACAAAUCUUUUUUGUUGAGAACCUUAGACCAAUCAAUCAAAUAUUGAUUAAUACUUAAUUGAUCAAAGACUACUUGAAAACGGCUCUUUAGCUUAGAAACAAAAUGUUCCAAAUGUUCUUGGAAAUUCUUGCUCCCAUUGGACCAUUUGUAUUUAUAUGUAUUAGGAUAUCGAUUCACAGAUCUCUCAGUUCAAGAAAUAAAAAUAAGAGGAUUGAACAAUUUCUUCUAACUAUUUUUCAAAUUCGAUAAAUGUAGGUUGAUCUUAUAUUUCAUUAUCGUUUUAUGAUUCAAAGUAUCAUUUCAUAUUUGAUCCCUUUGAAUUCCAUAUCCAAAAUUGCAAUCGGAUUCAUUCAUUAAAAAGAAUCAGUUCCAUACAUUUCUUAUGUACCCAUAGGUGCUAUAUUGGAUUUGAAUUAGAUUUCGGAUCCAUCUAUAUUGAUUAACUGUCUCAUUAUGUUGUUACUAGUAAAUACCAUUAUUUUUUGUUUUGGAUCUUUCAAAUCAUUUUCGCAUGAGAUCCGAACCCAUUUUUUCUAAUCUUUCAAUAAAAAGAUUCAUUUUCUUCAAAAAAGAGAGGAGGUAGAACCAAUAAAGAUUUCUUUUUCAAUUCAUCCCUGGAUUUGAAUACCUCAUUAAAGAAUUAUUUUUGAUCUAAUACGUAAGAAUCCAUAGAUAAGGCAAAUCCUUUAAGAUACAUCAAAUCUAGCUCACUUAUUGAUAGAGUAAAUAGAUCUGCCAUUAUUUGAAAUCUCUCUUCUGAUUCAAAAUCGUGGUGUAAUGUGUAUCAACCUUGUUUCGGUCAUGAAAUAGACGAAAUAAAUCAAAAAAAUGUAUUUUUGUUUAAGAAUGAAAUCUUAUGGAAACUGUGCAUAUCCAGUUCAUCCUUUAGAAUCAUAUCACAUCCCGGAUCUGAUGAAAUAUGAUGAAUUGAGACAAUACUUUGUAAAUACAUAAUUAUCUUAUAUAUAUUAACUAUAUCUUUAUUUUAUGAUCGUUUGGAAAGGACAAAAGAAACAUCUUGUUCUUUCUUCAACAAUUUUUUAUCUCUAGUGGGCCUCUUAGUAGGAUUCCAACCUAGAUGAAGUUUUGACCAUCUGUCAAAGAAAAAAGAAAGAAUGGAUCUUGUAGAAUUCCCAAGAAAUUCUUCGAUUUUUUUCGGAAGCAAAUGAUUCUUCAUCUCUUUCUCACAUUUCGUGAAUAGUUGGGAAUAUCUAGAAAGGCAUUUAGAGAAUCGGUCUGAUUCUAACUCUGUUCGUUUCGUUUGAAGAAAUGAAGGAUCCCAAAGAAUCAAUCUUUCUUUUAGUUGUUGAAUCUCUCUUUGAUUGAUCAAUGUAUGAUAUUCUGAAUCCUUAUUACUAAUGGAAUCGAAAUGAUCUCUGGAUUGAUCAAAAGAUCCUUUUAAUUGGCUAGAAUCCGUUAUUUGAACAAAACUAGAUCUUGUACAAUCAUAUUGAAUAUUUGACGAUACAUUUUGUAACUUGUUAAAAAAUCGGUCCUUGUUUACCAACCACACAUUGUCUAACCAAAUUCAAUUCUCUCUCAAUAUGUUCCUCAAAAAAUCUGAUUCGAGUAUUCUUCCCCUAGCUGACAAAGAGAUCUUGGCGGAAUUGCUACAUAUGAAAUUGAGCACAAUUUUCCAAAAAAAUAGCCCACUUCUUUCUCGAGAAGAGAUGGGAAAUAGGCUUAAUAUCAUUUGAUUGAAUAGUUGACCCAGCUCCUUGUUGUUUGAGGAAACCCUCCACUUCAAUUGGUAUUUUUUUCACGAAAAGCAAACAUGAGAAAACAAAUCUAGUCUUUAACUAAGAUUUCGAAUAGCUAUCACGAAUUCAAAUUAAUUAUGUUUCGUCUCUUACUUGGAGAAAGAUGAUCCAAAAUUCCCAAUCACAGUACUUGCAGAUCGGAUCAUCCAUAUAAUAUACAAAAAGAAACUCCAAAUAUUUAAUAUCUUUUCCUUUGAAUGAUAUCUCAAUUCCAACAAUGGUUUCAUUAGAUAUCUUACAACUAGAAUCAUCUUUUUUCCGCUCCAAUUCCUCCAACACUGCAAACCCAAGUUAAAUCCAGGCAUGAUACAUUUUUUUGUGAUUGGGAGAACUCAAUUACUCUCUUUCGGAUCUAGGAAAAAGCUCUCAGAGAUCUUUUUUUCCUUUUGGAAGAUAAAGGAGCCAAACGAUCAACCUAUUGAUAUUGGAAGAUCCAAAAGAUUCUUCCAAUGUAUCAUUUCUAGGUCUAAUGGAAUUCAUAGGUAUAGGAAAAAGCCCUAUUAAAUAGAGAUUUUUUCUUUCGGCCAUAUUUCAAUUAUUAAUACAGUAUAUAAGGACUACUACUACAAAUAGUACUACACCAUUGAUCGUGAAAUAUCAAGUGCUUGUUGAAUCCUGUGAAUUGCGUGAAAGUAGGAUACUCCAAAUUCGGGGGUCUAGGAGUUUUAUAAAAUGUUCUUGGUGAAAAAAAAUGUGGAUGAAAGAUCCUACGAAAUUGAAUUGGGUGCAUGAAUCUAAGAAAUAGUGAGAAUUAUGGAUCUCUCUCAAUUCGAAAAUCCAGGAUUUGAAUUGACAUCCUUUCAUUGAUUUCUCCUAAAUUGAAUUAAUUUCUCCUAAAGAUUUCAUUUCAAUUGGAAUUUGGUUACUCACCAUGUACGAGGAUCCCUGCUAAGCAUCCAUGGUUGAAUGGUUAAAGCACUCAACUCAUAAUUGGCGAAUUCGUAGGUUAAAUUCCUACUGGAUGCACGCCAAUGGGACACUACAAUAAAUCUAUUGGAAUUGACUCUAUGUCAAUGGAAUCUAAUCAUCCAUACAUAACGAAUUGAUGUGGUAUGUUAAUAUACCUUUAAUGUCAACUUUAAUGAAGAAUCAAGAUCAAGUAGGACAGAAAUAAAGCAUUGGGUCGAACUCUUCUGAAAUGGUAGAAGAAUAGGACCUAUUCUCAGUAGAAGAAUGGGACCUAUACAGGGACAUAUAAAGCAUUACAGACGUAUGAUCAUUACACUUCAACUGGGUUAUUCUAUUCCACCUCUUAAAAAGAAAAGAACUUAAAUCAAAAUGGUUAAUAUUAAUAGCAUAGCAAUAUAUUUAUACAAAACUUCUACCCCCAAGCACCCCAAGCACACGCAAUGGAGCCGUAAACAAUCAAGUGAAAUUCAAUACACAAAAUAAUUUGAUCUAUGGACAGCAUCAUUGUAAUAAAGGUCGUAAUGCCAGAGGAAUCAUUACCACAUGGCAUAGAGCGGGAUUUUCAGAUAGUCUAAUGAGUUGUAGUCGCCGUGGGUAAUUUUACAUUUGAUUUACAAUGCACUACUUAUAAGUAAAAUGAGAAAAAUGGUGCAUUGAAAACUGCAUAAUUUUCUUUAUAUUUUUUUAACAAGUUUUUUUUUUGUAUAUUUUUUUAACAAGUUCAUAAAAGCACUUUUAAACAAAGUCCAAUUUGGAUAGGAGAAUUUUCAUUUGGCCCCACCAUUUUGAUCAUUUGCUUGCAGCCAUGCAAAGAAAGUGACCAGAUUUGGCCCAUAAAUUAUAAACAAGUUGAUAAAGACUUAAGUGGAAAGGACAAAUAGUAACUUCAACUCAAAUAUUUCCCAGCCUGAGAGUUUCUUAGUAGAUCCACUGUUCCAUGUCGUGAGAUCAGCCUUUUGGAUGAGGAAUGAGUAGUGUGCAAAAAUCAAGAAUUCAUUGUGCAAUUGGCACGCGCCUACCCUACCAGAGCAGCCAUGGCCUGGAUCCGGAAGAAACUUGUGGUGGCCAUGAUGGUGAGCUCGACGGAGCUCAAGUGGCCAGCUCAAAGCAGGGACAGUGGGAGGGUGUCUUCUGGUUUCUUAUCAUUUUUAUCGUAUCCUUUUUUUCUUUCUCUAAACUUUUUAUUUUUUUCUUUCUCUAAACUUUUUAUUAUAAAAUCUUUUAAUUCUUUUCCAGACGGGGCGUUAGGUAGAGUCAGCUUUUUUUUUUUUUUUUAGGUAGAGUCAGCUUUUAGUCGGUCAAAUCAUUGAAUUAAUAAAAAUGUUCAUUAUACAAAUUUGAAUAGGAUUCAGUCGUACUAUUCAAAAGUUUUAGGUCAAUUACAUUUGCUUGAUGAAUUUUAGAAUUACUGAUGUAGGUAUCCAUGUGUAAAGGUAAUACUCAUCCAUGGAUAUAGUCCAGUGAACUUCUAUGGUACUUUAACAGAUGAAAGCGGGUGAAGCUUUCGUGACUAGUAGGGAAACUGUAGGCCAUCCUAUGGAGAUGAUGAGAGGAGAGCUUUGUAAUCAGUAAAGAUAAUACCAGCACUUGCAGCAAUCAUUACACUCUAAUGAAACUAGAAAGAUGAGACAUACAAGCCAAUGACUCAUGAAACAUAACUCUGCAUCUGUCCAAUCUUUUUAUUGCUCAUAAUAGAAAAUCACAGAACCGGAAGUUCAGUUCUGUGAAACACCAGCCUGGUCAUCAUCUCCAACUUUGAUGAUUGAAGACAACCCAUAAGAGAAAAUCCCACAUAAAACAUUGACCCAACAAGGACAGAAUCAACAACGAAAUACAGCUAACAACUCAUAUAAAAAGGGGUAGGAAAGGUCUAAUGUUACGGUCCCCCAGCACCAGAUAAUUUAAACUAGACCCCUUUGCAUCACUGCUGGUUCCUCAUGGCAAGAACCUUGGCCAAAGCCGGCCGGGCCAUGAUGUCGGCCACCCAAGCGCUCACCUUGGGGCGGGCGUCGAACAGCUUCUUCACAGGUGAAGCCAUCAGGUUGGUCAGGGCCGGGAGGUGGUGGAGGUCGGCCAGGGUGAAGCAGUCGCAGCCCAAGUACUUGGACUGGCUCAACCGGGCCUCGUAGAUGUCGAGGACCUUGGCGAGCUUGGCCUCGUUCUCCUCGACUACUGCGGCGUCCGUGGCCAUGCCGAACAUCGGCUUAAACAGGAGCUCCCACUGCAGCUUCGACCCCACCGGGUCAAACUGGUGGGCCUCGACCUCCAUCCACACGCCCAAGGUCGCCAUGGGUUUGCCCUCGCACACGAGGGGAGUGCCCUUGUCCUUGUAUACAUUAGCUAUGUAUUGAGUAAUUGCCCUUGAUUCUGCCACCACAAAGAACAAAAUCAAGAUGUAAACCAUGCUUCGCGUAGUUGUUUCUUGUUCAGUUGACGAAUUGAACAGUCAAAGAUUGACUAAACACUUGAUCCUUCAUCAUGGUCGCAUGAUCUAUCAGCAAUCGAAUCAGCACCCUUUGACUAAAUACUUUCAUCUUUCAUGAUGGUCACACAGUAUAAUACACCACGAACAGAAAGACUUACCGAAUAGCUUCAAAUCUCCGUCCUCAAAGGCCGGGACUUGACCGAAAGGCUGCACAGAGAGAUCCAGAAACGUUAGAUCUGAGCGAGACGAAAGAGGGUUUCUUGAAAGAGCACAUUCAGACCCCCCAAGACCGAAAAUCUGCGAGUAUAAAGGUCGAACUGGUGGUGGGCAGGUAAGGAGACUUACGUUGAGGGCGAGGAAGUGCUCCUUCUUGUGCUCGCCGGCCCGCAUGUCGACGGGGACGAACUCGAACUCGAGGCCCUUCUCGUUGAGGGCAAUGAGUACCCGCAUAGCCGCGGUGGAUAAGACGCUUCCGUGGACCUUCAUCACCAUGGUGGCUGGCUCUGCUUUCUUUUCUUUAUCUCUCUCUCUCGAAGGCUAAAUGCAGAACAGAUGUGGCGAAAGAGGGUGGGUUUUGGGCUCUUUUUAUAAGGGUUUCAGGAUCUCGUUCUGGAAUGAUCCAAUUGACUUUUAAAAUUCGAUUUUUCUUUCCCAUUCAACGAGAUAAUUUUGCUUUUUUUAUCUUUGUUGUUUAUACUUAGGAGAUGGAGAUGCAAAAAUGGCUCCUUGUCGGAUGAAGAGAGAGAGAGAGAGAGAGACGGACGCGACGAUUCCUGAGAAGCCAUUUUGAUAUUCAUCUCGCACUUUCUUCUCUUCAUUCGAUGUCUGAACAGAUCAAAAGAAAGGCGCAGACACCUACGUGCGCACGUCAUGCGGCGAGUAGCUCGUGCCAAAAGCGCCUAUCUACCGACCCAAAAAAAAGAAGCGCCUAUCUACCGACAAAAAAGAAAAAAAAAGCGCCUAUCUUGGGAAGGAAGAUACAUUUAGGGGAUAUUUGGUAGCUAUCUAAAUAGUAUCUGAUUCUGAUUUUUUCUUUCUGAAAGUAAUUUUGAAAUGGAAUCUCGUUUGGUAAAAUUUUUGUUCCAGAAAUAAAUUUAUAUUUUUCUUGUUCUCGAAAAUAGAUUUGAAAUAGAAUCAAGAAUAAAAAAAAAAAUUGACUCUUAUUCUAUAAACAAAUCUAAAAAUCAAAAUCAACUUUUCUUCUUCUUCUUUUUUCUUCUUCUUCAUCAACCGACAUCCCGCAAAUACUAUCCGCCGCCGUCCACCAUCGUUCGCUACCGGUCGCCGACAACCGGUCCGGCGAGCACCGAAGGCUCGCCAGGCCAAGACGAGGUCCAGCGAGCUCGCUGAGGCUUAGGCUUGGCCUUACCAGAUUUAGCGAGGUCGAGCCUUGCCCAACUACCGGCGAUGCUCGGCCAACGAGGGCCAACAAAACUUCAAUGAGGUCGCCAGCCACAAGAAGAAGAAGAAGAAGAAGAAGAAGAAGAGAAAAAAUGGGAAAAAAAGUAAAAAUGAAAAAAAAUAAUUGAUUUGGAACAGAAUCAAUAAGCAUGAUACCAAACGCAAUUCUAUUCCAAAAUCAGAAAUUUUAAAUAAUUAUUAAAUGGCUUAAAAUGUUUAGAAAUUGUUCCUAAGAAUAGAAUAAAAAAUAAUCAUUUCUGAUUAGAAUUUGUUCUCGAGAAUAAAAUCAUUACCAAACACACUCCUAAAGGGCGAGGAUGUAACUCCACUCUUCAGAAAAGACUUUGAGAAAACGUGAAUCAUGUUUCAAAAAAUGGAUUACUACAAAUGUAUCAUGCAGUCCCUAAAAUUUAAUUUUGUACAACGUGAUCCGUGAGUUUUUAUUAUAUAAUAUCAUUUCUAAAUUUUUAAUUUAUUUUAUAUAAUCUUUACAUUAUUGAUAAAUAUUUAGUAUAAUCUUUAAAUUAUAUGAAUUUGUUUAAAAAUUUAUUAUCUAAAUUCUAGAUUCGAACAUAUUGAGAAAGUUUGACCAUACGUUGGAUUUUUUAAUAGAAUAUUAGACACGUGUUGGAGUAUCUAAUAUGACUCAAAAACUCUGGAGAAUGUCGACGUUUCCCAUAGCAGAGUUAGCUUUUUUGAUUGGUCAAAUCAAACAAAUUAAUAAAAAAUUUUAUUAUACAUUUUAAAAUAUUAGGGGUCAAUUACACGACAAAAUUUAAAAUUUCCGAUGCAUAUAUCCCUUAGUGUAAAGGCAGUACUCAUCCAUGAAUAAAGUGCAGUGAACUAGGCGAAGCUUUAGGGAAGCCUUAGGCCAUCCCAUGGAGAUGAUGAGAGGAGGGGUUUUCAUCAGUAGAGAUAAUACCAGCACUUGCAGAAAUCAUUACAUUCUAAUGAAACUACAAAGAUGAGGCAUAUAAAACAAUGACCCAUGAAACAUAAUUUUGCAUCUGUCCAAUCUUUUUAUUGCUCAUAAUAGAAAAUCACAGAACUUGCAGUUCGGCGAAACGCCAGCCUGGUCAUCAUCUCCGACUUUGAUGAUUGAAGACGACCCUUCAGAGAAAAUCCCACAUAAAACAUUGACCAAAGGAGGAUAGAAUCGACAGCAAAAUACGAUUACCAACUCAUAUAGAAAGGGGUAGAAAAGGUCUAAUGUUAUCGUCCCCUAGCACCAGAUGAUUUAAGCUAGACCCAUUGCUUCACUGCUGGUUUCUCAUGGUAAGAACCUUGGCCAAAGCCGGCGGGGUCACGAUGUCAGCCACCCAAGCACUCACCUUCGGGCGGGCGUCCAAUAGCUUCUUCACAAGUGUCCCCAUCAGGCUGGUCAAGGCCGAGAGGUGGUGGAGGUCAGCCAGGGUGAAGCAGUCGCAGCUUAAAUACUUGGACUGGCUCAGCCGAGCCUCGUAGAUGUCGAGGACCUUGGCAAGGUUGGCCUCCUUAUCCUAGAUGGGCUAAGUCAAACGGGUUUUUCAUUUGAUGGGUCAAGUUAAGUCUGUUCGCCCACUCAGCCCAUAAAAGGAAAAUACAGUUAUUUUCUAAGUGAAAAUAACUGUAAUAUAUAAAAUAAAAAUUAAAUGUUCAGAGAGAAAACACGUUUCUCCAUUUUCUUCUCUUUGAAACAGUUCACUCUCUCUUGAAGAAGGAGAAUUCUGAGAUUGCAACAAUGUUUUUUUGAACAUGUUUCUGCGUUCGUUUUUUAUAUUCGAUCGUUUGAGUAUCAGUUCGAUUUUCAGAAAUCUAUUUGCCGCAUCCUUGACUACUGCAGCAUCCGUGGCCAUACCAAUUUUCGACUUGUACACGAGCUCCCAAUGCAGCUUCGACGCUGCCGGGUCAAACUGGUGGGCCUCGACUUCCAUCCACGAGAAAAUAUUGGCUUUGCCCUCGCAAACGAGGGAGCGCCCUUGUCCUCGUAUACGUGAGCAAUGUAUUGAGUAAUUGCCCUCGAUUCUGCCACCACGAAGAGCAUAAUCAAGACAUAAACUAUAUUUCGCGUAGUUGUUUCUUGUUCUGUUGACUGAGUGAACAGUCAAAGAUUGACUAAACACUUGAUCUUUCAUCAUGAUUGCACGAUCUAUCGGCAAUCGAAUCAGCGCCCUUUGACUAAAUACUUUCAUCUUUCAUGAUGGUCACACAAUAUAACACAUCAGUAAUAGAAAGACUUACCCAAUAGCUUCAAAUCUCCGUCCUCAAAGGCCGGGACUUGACCGAAAGGCUGCACAGAGAGAUCGAGAAACGUUAGAUCCAAGAGACGAAGGAGGUUUUCUUGAAAGACCACGUCGAGACCCCACGACCAGAAAAUAGUUAGGAAUACUGUGGCACGGGCGGUGGGCGGUGAUGGAGACUUAAGUUGAGGGCGAGGAAAUGCUCCUUCUUGUGCUCGCCGGCUCGCAAGUCGACGAAGACGAACUCGAACUCGAGGUCCUUCUCGUGGAGGGCAAUGAGGACCCGCAUCGUCGGGGCGGAGAAGACGCUUCCGUGGACCUUCAUCACCAUGAUUGCUCGCUCUGCUUUCUUUUCUUUAUCUCUCUCUCAGAACCUGAACGCAGAACAGCUGUGGCGAUCAAUGGUGGGUCUCGGGCUCUUUUUAUAAGGGCUUCAGGAUCUUGUUCUGGAAUGAUGUAAUUGACUUGAACAUUUCGAUUCUGGUAUGCCCUUCAACGAGAUAAUCUUGCCUUGUAUCUUUUAUUGUUUACAGUUAGCAGGUGGAGAUGACAGUAAUGGCUCCUUGUCGGGAUGUGGGGAGAGGGAGAGAGAGACGCAGGCGAUAAGUCCUCCGUAGCCAUGUUCCUGUCCGUCGGCGAGGUUCUUAUCUCCCAUUCUUGGAAAGGAGAUACUAUUGCUGUACCAUUAUUAUUUCCUAUUUCUGCUAAAUUCAACACCAUCUAUCACGGCCCUACUUUUUUCGUCGUCUGAAAGUUUCUCAGAAAAUGAAAUCCAUCGGUGGCAGUUGGGAUUGGACAGCCUGAACCUGAAACUGCGUGGACUCUACCGGCGGAUUUGGUCCAAUUUAUGAGAAUAUCAAUGUGGUUCCGAUUUUGAGGCAGAAUUGAAUUAGACCGACUAAUUAUUUUUUUAUUUAUUCAAAAAAUUAGUGAAAUAUGAACUAAAUACUAAAGCAAUGAGAAAAAAAAAAAACUAUCGAUUCCAUUAGAUCAUACCAGAAUUGGAUCGAAUCGAUGAUGUGGUCCGAUUUCCAAUUGUAGGACUAAUCGAUCCAAUCCUCAGUUCUAAUUUUUGGGAACAUGACCAUCUCCUAGUCAGAUUUCCGAUUUCACCUUGGAAUUGAAUCGGAUCAGAAACUAAUCACCCUUACUCAAAAGGAGACAACAAAUCUCUGUGUAGUAGGUAGCACAUCAAUAAGUCACUUGUGUGAAACGUGCCUCUACUCAGAAGGAGAAUUUUUUGAAAAUCAAAAAGGCAAUCCUCUCUUUAGAAAGACUUUGAGAAAACAUUAAUUAUGUUUAAGAAAUGAGAGAAAAUGGAAUGAAUUUUCAGGUGGGUUGAAAAUAAAGAAAACUUCUAAUUUUACUUAAGGCAUAAAAAGAGUGGAAAGUGUUUCUUGUUUUCCUUUUCUUUUUCUUUUUUUUGUAAUUUUCUUCUCUCUUCCAUUGACCAUGAUUGCAAACAUAAGGAAAGGACUAAAAGUUGAAUUUGUUCUUCUUUUUUUUAUCGAAGAAAAUUUUAUUGAAAUUACGAACAUGGUGUAAAGAGCUCCGAGCAAGGCGAAUCUGAACAAAGGAGGGCCCAAAGGGUUUGAGGAGGAAAAGAAAGCCGGUUUUGUGGAAGUGAGCCAAUCCAUCAUGUCGGUUACUGCAUUAGAAGCCCGCGAAAAAUGGGCUAUGCGAAUGGAUGGAUGGGCCUUGAGUAGCUUUAUAAAAUUCAUGAUAAGAAGUCACUCCUCCCGGUUGAAAUUAUUCGUAAACCCGCUUACCAAAGCUUCCACGAGAUCGGCAUGGUUGAGCUCAACUGCAUAGUUUGCGGAACUAUCUUCACUCAAAACUACAAGCUGGAUUGCUUCAAGGACGGCUAGGGCUUCCGCCUAAGAAGGUGAUGAGAUCUUCACCAAUUUGGGGAAACCCGUAAUAAUAAUACGAGCACGAUCUCUGUAGAUACCAGCUACGGUGCCAUCCACCAAUUCAUCGACAAAGGAGCCAUCAACAUUGGAUUUUAGGAUUUUCUACUCCAAUGGAACCCAAGUCUGCAACUUAUAAACGUGGGAUCUUUUCUUGUAUUUGAUGUAUGAAAGAUCCAUUUUAAGUAAUUUGGUCGCUAGAAAUAUGUUGAUUGCAUGGUAUGUCGUGCGUUCAGAAAUUUGCCCCGAAAUACAUUAUAAAAAGAAAAUAUCAAUGAACUUCUAUGAAAUUGUUUCACGGAUUCAGGCAAUUGUCUUGAUCGUGAAAUAUCAUUGAGAAAAAGGAAUUUGUAUUAUUAAAAGAUUUCCUGCAAUUAUUUCUAGUAUGGAAUGAAUCAAUCAUCCACUUUGGUAUCUUAUUGAACAAAAAUGGUGAUAUUGUUCCUUGAUUGAUCAAUAAUUUCGAUUUUUAGAAAGUAUCAUGAUCAUCCAAAAAUAAUGGCUUCCAUUUUUACAAAUAAACGAUUUGAAGACCUAUUGAUUCUAACAACUGAUUGCAGAGUUGAUCAUUCGGACCUUUCAAUUCAUAGACGUGGAUCUCGAACCUAUGAAUGGGGUUAUUCAUGAAACUCACAAAGAAAAAAGGAAGUGAGUUAGACAAAAGAAGAAGAAGAAGAAGAAAUUUGGACAAAAAAGAUUUCGAAUAGCUAUCAUGAAUUCAAAUUAAUUAUGUUUAGUUUCUUACUCGGAGAAAGACGAUCCAAAAUUCCCAAUCACGGUACUUGCAAAUCGGAUCAUCCAUAUAAUAUACAAAAAGAAACUCCAGAUAUUUGAUAUAUUUUCCUUUGAAUGAGAUCUCAAUUCCAACGAUGGUUUCAUUAGAUAUCUUACAACUAGAAUCCUCUUUUUUCCGAUCAAAUUCCUCCAGCACUGCAAACCCAAGUUAAAUCCAGGCAUGAUACACUUUUUCGUUAUUGGGAGAACUUAAGUACUCUCUUUCGGAUCCAAGAAAAAGCUCUCGAAGAUCUUAAGAUCUUUCCUUUUGGAAGAUAAAGGAGCGAAAUGAUCAACUUAUUGAUAUUGGAAGACCCAAGACCCAAACGAUUCUUCCAAUGUAUCAUUUCUAGGUCCAAUGGAAUUCAUAGGUAUAGGAAAAUGCCCUAUCAAAUAGAGAUUUUUUUUCUUUCGGCCAUAUUUCAAUUAUUAAUAUGAUAUAUAAGGACUACUACUACAAAUAGUACUACACCCUUGAUCGUGAAAUAUCAAUUGCUUGUUGAAUCUUGUGAAUUGCGUGAAAGUAGGAUACUCCAAAUUCGGGGGUCCAGGAGUUUUAUAAAAUGUUCUUGGUGGAAAAAAAUGUGGAUGAAAGAUCCCAUGAAAUUGAAUUGGGUCCAUGAAUCUAAGAAAUAGUGAGAAUUAUGGAUCUCUCAAUUCGAAAAUCCAGGAUUUGAAUUGAUGUCCUUUCAUUGAUUUCUCCUAAAUUGCAUUAAUUUCUCCUAAAGAUUUCAUUUCAAUUGGAAUUUGGUUAUUCACCGUGUAUGAGGAUCCCUGCUAAGCAUCCAUGGUUGAAUGGUUAAAGCGCCCAACUCAUAAUUGGCGAAUUCGUAGGUUCAAUUCCUAUUGGAUGCAUGCCAAUGGGACACUACAAUAAAUCUAUUGGAAUUGACUAUAUAUCAAUGGAAUCUGAUCAUCCAUACAUAACAAAUUGAUGUGGUAUAUUCAUAUCAUAACAUAAGAUAUUGGGGAAGAAAAUUGAUUUAUGGAAGAAAAAUUAUUAGGGAAAAAUCAAUAUACCUUUAAUGCCGAAUCAAGAUCAAGUAGGACAUAAAUAAAGCAUUGGGUCGAACUCUUCUGAAAGGAUAGAAGAAUAGGACCUAUUAUCGUUAGAAGAAUGGGACCUAUUCUUGGGCAUACAAAGCAUUACAGACGUAUGAUCAUUACACUUCAACUAGGUUAUUCUAUUCCCAUCUUAAAAAGAAACGAACUUAAAUCAAAAUGGUUAAUAUUAAUAGCAUAGCAAUAUAUUUAUACAAAACUUCUAUCUUGGGAUAGAAGUUUUGUAUAAAUAUAUCGCUAUGGAGCCGUAGACAUACACGAAAUAAUUUGAUCUAUGGACGGCAUCAUUGUAAUAAAGGUUGUAAUGCUAGAGGAAUCAUUACCGCAUGGCAUAGAGCAGGAUUUUCAAAUACUCCAAUGAGUUGUAGUUGCCAUGGGUAAUUUUAAAUUUGAUUUACAAUGCACUACUUAUAAGUAAAAUGAGAAAAACGGUGCAUUGAAAACUGCAUAAUUCUCUUUAUAUUUUUUUAACAAGUUCAUAAAAGCACUUUUAAACAAAGUCCAAUUUGGAUAGGAGAAUUUUCAUUUGGCCCCACCAUUUUGAUCAUUUGCUUGCAGCCAUGCAAAGAAAGUGACCAGAUUUGGCCCAUAAAUUAUAAACAAGUUAAUAAAGACUUAAGUGGAAAGGACAAAUAGUAACUUCAACCUCAAAUAUUUCCCAGCCUGAGAGUUUCUUAGUAGAUCCACUGUUCCAUGUCGUGAGAUCAGCCUUUUGGAUGAGGAAUGAGUAGUGUGCAAAAAUCAAGAAUUCAUUGUGCAAUUGGCACGCGCCCACCCUACCAGAGCAGCCAUGGCCAGGAUCCGGAAGAAACUUGUUGUGGCCAUGAUGGUGAGCUCGACGGAGCUCAAGUGGCCAGCUCAAAGCAGGGACAGUGGGAGGGUGGCUUCUGGUUUCUUAUCAAUUUUAUUAUAUCCUCUUUCUCUUUCUCUAAACUUUUUAUUAUAAAAUCUUUUAAUUCUUUUCCAGACGUGGCGUUAGGUAGAGUCAGCUUUUAGUUGGUCAAAUCAAAUGAAUUAAUAAAAAUGUUCCUUAUACAAAUUUGAAUAGGAUUCAGUUCGUACUAUUUAAAAGUUUUAGGUCAAUUACAUUUGCUUGAUGAAUUUUAGAAUUUCUGAUGUAGGUACCCCUUUGUGUAAAGGUAAUACUCAUCCAUGAAUAUAGUCCAGUGAACUUCUAUGGUACUUUAACAGUUGAAAGCGGGUGAAGCUUUCGUGACUAGUAGGGAAACCGUAGGCCAUCCUAUGGAGAUGAUGAGAGGAGAGGUUUUCAUCAGUAGAGAUAAUACCACUACCAGCACUUGCAGCAAUCAUUACACUCUAACGAAACUAGAAAGAUGAGACAUACAAGCCAAUGACUCAUGAAACAUAACUCUGCAUCUGUCCAAUCUUUUUAUUGCUCAAAAUAGAAAAUCACAGAACCAGAAGUCCAGUUCUGCGAAACACCAGCCUGGUCAUCAUCUCCAACUUUGAUGAUUGAAGACGACCCUUCAGAGAAAAUCCCACAUAAAACAUUGACCCAAGAAGGACAGAAUCAACAACCAAAUACAGCUAACAACUCAUAUAAAAAGGGGUAGAACAGGUCUAAUGUUACGGUCCCCGGCACCCGAUAAUUUAAACUAGACCCCUUUGCAUCACUGCUGGUUCCUCAUGGCAAGAACCUUGGCCAAAGCCGGCCGGGCCAUGAUGUCGGCCACCCAAGCGCUCACCUUGGGGCAGGCGUCGAACAGCUUCUUCACAGGUGAAGCCAUCAGGUUGGUCAGGGCCGGGAGGUGGUGGAGGUCGGCCAGGGUGAAGCAGUCGCAGCCCAAGUACUUGGACUGGCUCAGCCGGGCCUCGUAGAUGUCGAGGACCUUGGCGAGCUUGGCCUCGUUCUCCUCGACUACGGCGGCGUCCGUGGCCAUGCCGAACAUCGGCUUGAACACGAGCUCCCACUGCAGCUUCGACGCCACGGGGUCAAACUGGUGGGCCUCGACCUCCAUCCACACGCCCACGGUCGCCAUGGGUUUGCCCUCGCACACGAGGGGAGUGCCCUUGUCCUCGUAUACAUGAGCAAUGUAUUGAGUAAUUGCCCUGGAUUCUGCCACCACAAAGAACACAAUCAAGAUGUAAACUAUACUUCGCGUAGUUGUUUCUUGUUCAGUUGACGAAUUGAACACUCAAAGGUUGACUAAACACUUGAUCUUUCAUCAUGGUCGCACGAUCUAUCAACAAUCGAAUCAGCACCCUUUGACUAAAUACUUUCAUCUUUCAUGAUGGUCACACAAUAUAAUACACCACUAACAGAAAGACUUACCGAAUAGCUUCAAAUCUCCAUCCUCAAAGGCCGGGACUUGACCGAAAGGCUGCACAGAGAGAUCCAGAAACGUUAGAUCUGAGAGAGACGAAGGAGGGUUUCUUGAAAGAGCACAUUCAACCCGCCAAGACCGAAAAUCUGCGAGUAUAACGGUCGAACUGGUGGAGGGCAGGAACGGAGACUUACGUUGAGGGCGAGGAAGUGCUCCUUCUUGUGCUCGCCGGCCCGCAUGUCGACGGGGACGAACUCGAACUCGAGGCCCUUCUCGUUGAGGGCAAUAAGGACCCGCAUAGCCGCGGUGGAUAAGACGCUUCCGUGGACCUUCAUCACCAUGGUCGCUGGCUCUGCUUUCUUAUCUUUAUCUCCCUAUCUCGAAGCCUAAAUGUAGAACAGAUGCAGAACAGAUGUGCUUUAUUAUCUUUAUCUCCCUAUCUUGUUUUGGAAUGAUCUAAUUGACUUUUAAAAUUCGAUUUUUCUUUCCCAUUCAACGAGAUAAUUUUGCUUUUUUAUCUUUGUUGUUUAUACUUAGGAGAUGGAGAUGCAAAAAUGGCUCCUCCUUUUCUUUUCUCUCGCGUCCUUCCUUUCUUUUCCCUCUGCACCUUGUCAGAAAAAGGACAAAGUCCUUUGUUGACCUGUUGAAAAAAACGAGAGAGAACUCCCUUUUUUUUAAAUCUAACGUCCGCCCCCUCUUUCGUCCGUUUGCGAGCGGCUUUUAUGGGCGAGGUAUUAAGGCUUUCUAGAAUAUUUUAUUUCCUUUUUCACAUCGGAUUCACAUUUCCUUUCUCAACAUGCAUGAAGAUAUAUUGUCGAAAUAUGUACCCCACAUGCAAUAUUUCUUUUUAUUUUCCACAUCUCUUCUAGCCUUGUUUGAUUUCCUUUAUAUGCACUUCAUAUCUUUCCACAUUAAAUUAUGCAAAAAAAAAAGAAUAUUCUCCAUCGAUUUUUAUUAUAUAUUGCCAAAAAUUCAAGAUUAUAAUAGGAUUUUCUCAAAUUCUAAAUCUUGUCAAGAUGAGCUCGUAAUAUCUCCUUCUCACACUUGCCCUUUUUGAGAAUAUAUGAAUAGAUUACAUGAACAUACAAAAAAUCCUCUAUCAUAUCACUAAAAAUAUCGAAUCGUCAAUUCUUAUAAGUUAAUCUUUGGUCAUCAAAAAAUAAUGGGCUUGGGCCAAUUCCAUUUCAACGCAGGCUUAGUCCAACUUGCUAAAUUUAAGCUCAGAACCAUCAAAUUAAAUCCAUUCGUCACCAACCCAAUGCAAAUGUAAUAAAAAAAAAAAGUUCUCUUAAAACUACAUGUUAUGUAAUUUAAUUAUAAUUUUUUUUUGUUUAUGGGUUAAAAAUUAAUCUCUAAUUUUUAAAAGGGAAAACCUCAAAUAAGGAUUGAAAAUGGCUUCGUUUUCUCAAAAAAGAACCUAAAGUGAAGUUUGUCUCAAAUAAGGACCUAAAGUAGUCAUUUAGUCUCAAAAAAUGACCUAACUCGCCGGCCAAUGAACUAAUGCAUUUCUGAUGCGUAUUCCGGUGACCUAAUCAAGGUAUUUUCAUCCAAAAAAUAUUCUCUUUUCAUUUUCCUUUUCCCCUGUUCAUCUUCUCCAUCUGCGAGCAGACCUCCAAUAUCUCGCCAGUGAAGUAAUUGCCGACGAGAUCAAGCCACUUCAGCUUCUUGAGCCUUGCCACCUCCAGCGACAGCGGCCCCGUGAACUUGUCAUUGCCCAAGUGGAGUUCUUCAAGCUAGGUUAUCGCCUGUAAGACUUUGCUGGGGAAGAUCCCAAAGAGGUUGAGGAAUUGGAGGGAGGUGGGGCUGCCGAGCUUUGGCGGGAGGGUCCUGGUGAGGUUGUCGGUGGUGAGCGUGAGGUUGACGAGGUCACAAAGAAGGCCAAUUUUCGGGUGGGAUGUAGCUCGGGAGGCCGACGGAUGUGAUGUUGAGAGAGACGACCCACGAGCCAGCGUCGCAUGUGACUUCGGUGAAGGAGCAAUGCGGAAAGGGCGGUGGCAAGAAGGAGGAGGAGGAGUUGACCCAGUCGCUGAUGGCGGCGGAGGGAGGCUCGACCAUGGCGGUUUUGGGCUUCAAGAGCAUGUCCAGGUCGCUCUGUGCGAGGGAAGCAGAGAUGAAGAGGAGGAAGAAGAAGACUCCAUUGUAGGGCAGUUUCAUCCUCAGUGAGUUCGACGAGGCCAGCAAGGGCUCGCCGACCUCGCCGACCACUGGUAAGGGUAGGCGAGGGCUUGGCCCUCGCCUGCUGCCAACGCCUGCUACCGGCGAUAGGCGUUGAGCCCUCGCUGGCCUCAGGUGAGGCCAACCCACACCGGUCCCACGACCUUCGCUGGCCCUUCCCUACUUCCGAUGUCCUUGAUUUGGGCAAUGCCUAUCUUCGACGAAGAAGACGAUGAAUAGGGACAACCAUGGGUAGAUCAAGAAGAAGAUGAACAGGAUAAGGAAAACAAAAAGAUAAUAUUUUUUGGACAAAAAUACUCCAGACCAGGUCGUUGGAAUACGCAUUGAAAAUGCAUCAAUUCGCCGGCCGACAAGUCAGGUCCUUUUUUGAGACUAACUUAUGUGGCCAAGAGACCAUUAAAACUAUUUUUAUUACUCUUUUAUUUAUAGAAAAAAAUCUCCUUGUUAGUUUUUGUUGGAAAUAUGAUUUGUUUUUUUUAUUCUAAGUAUCUAAAUGCGGUUAAUUGAUUCUAUGAAUCCAUGAGAUUGGAUAUUAGGACAGUAGUAUAGGAAACAACAUAUUUUGUAUAUUCUUUCCUAUCGUACUCUUUUCUUGUAUUAUUAAUAGGUGUGUAAUACAUGUACAAACACAGCAAUACACAAUACAUAAAAUUCCUCCAAUUCAUUCUCAGUUUUUGUCAAUUUUCUUUCUCAUUUUCUAUCAGUUUCAUCUUCUACUUCAUGUGGGACUAAGGUUCCAAGAGACCCACAAGGCACUUCAAGCCUCCAAGAGUCCCACAUUGACUAAACAUUUAAAGAGCAGAGAUUGUCUAUAAAAUCUAAGCUAUGCAUAACUUUUAGCCAAAUUAUUCACGGCUUUCAUGGUUAAAGUUAAGUGUGAAACACACGAAGUGUGAAUCACAUUUGAAUAUUUUGCACGUGGAAACAUGUGUGAUUAGUUUUGUUGAAUUGCUCGAGAACCGAAUUGGAUUGAUCGGUCUGGAGCGCGGUCACUCUUUAGUGCAAAAAAGUAGAGCCGAUUUUGUUGGACCGGACCGGACCGGACCGGAACCAAUGGUCGGUCCGGUUCCCGGUCCUAGGACCAAACGGUCCGGUCCACGGUUUGCAAUUUUGGGAAUCGGUGCUCCCGGUCCGAUUCCCGGUUCCAAGGUGGAACCGGACCGAACCGGGAACCGAUCACCCCUAGCUGGCCCUUCCCUACUUCCGAUGUCCUUGAUUUGGGCAAUGCCUAUCUUCGACGAAGAAGACGAUGAAUAGGGACAACCAUGGGUAGAUCAAGAAGAAGAUGAACAGGAUAAGGAAAACAAAAAGAUAAUAUUUUUUGGACAAAAAUACCCCAGACCAGGUCGUUGGAAUACGCAUUGAAAAUGCAUCAAUUCGUCGGCCGACAAGUCAGAUCCUUUUUUGAGACUAAAUGACUGCUUUGGGGCCUUAUUUGAGAUAGAUUCCAUUUAAGGUCUUCUUUUGAGAAAAUGGGACCACUUUAGGUCUCUAUUUGAGAUUUUCCCUUUUUAAAAUGAUAAACAACUAAUCGUGGUUCUUUACCCAAAAAAAAAAAAAAAACAACUAAUCGUGGUUGUCAAAAUUUAUAUGUCAACACACCUCUUAGAAAUAAAAGAGCUUAAAUAAAAAUACUUAAUAUUAAUAGCAUGUUGAUACAUUUAUACAAAACUUCUACCCCGGGCACACGUAAUAAAGUCGUAGAUAGUCAAGUGAAAUCUAAUAUGCGAAAUAAUUUGAUUUAAGGACAGCAUCAUUGUAUUAAAGGUCGUAAUGCCAAAUGAAUCAUUACCGCGAGGCAUAGAGCAGGAUUUUCAAAUACUCCAAUGAGUUGUGGUCACCGUGGGUAAUUUUGAAUUUGAUUACAAUGCACUACUUAUAAGUAAAACGAGAAAAGUGGUGCACUGAAAACUGCAUAAUUUUCUUUAUUUUUUUUAACAAGUUCAUAAGAGCACUUUUAAAGAAAGUCCAAUUUGGAUAGGAGAAUUUUCAUUUGGCCCCACCAUUUUAGUCAUUUGCUUGCAGCCAUGCAAAGAAGUGACCAGAUUUGGCCCAUAAAUUAUAAGCAAGUUAAUAAAGACUUAAGCGGAAAGGACAGAGUAACUUCAACCUCAGAUAUUUCCCAGCCCGAGAGUUUCUUAGUAGAUGCACUGUUCCAUGUCGUGAGAUCAGCCUUCAGGACGAGGGACGAGUAGUGUGCAGAAAUCAAUAAUUGAUUGUGCAAUUGGCACGCGCCUACCCUGUAAGAGCAGCCGUGGCCAGGAUCCGGAAGAAACUUGUCGUGGCCAUGAUGGUGUGCUUGACGGAGCUCGAGUGGCCAGCUCAAAGCAGGGAUAGUGGGUGGGUGGAGUCCGUUUUCUUCUCAUUUUUAUUUAUCAUCCUUUUUUUUUUUUAGGGAAAAAGCCACCAAAAACCCUCCCAACUUUGCCUCGAGUGACAGAUUUACCCCGAACUUUGUUUUGUGACGUGAAAAACCCCGAAAUUUACUAACUGUGACACAUUUACCCCAAACUUUUAUUUGUGUGACAUAUUUACCCUAAAUCAUAAGGGAAUUUUGGUAUUUUUACUUUUAAAAACUUUUUUCUUUUUUUUUUUCUUUUUUUUCUUCUUCUUCUUCCUUCCUUCCGCCGGCCAUGGCGGAGCCGGCGUAGGAAGCCGAUUUUUGCGAGGGCCUCCCUACUAAAAUCAGGGGAGGUGCCCCUGGCGAGGGCACCCUCGCCCGACGCCGGCGUCGAGCGAGGGAGGCCCUCGUCCAAUCCAGUCGAGGGCUGCCCUCGCCGGACGCCAACUUCCCUCUGCCAGCCAGCCGGCGGAGGAAAGAGAGAAGAAGAAAAAAAGAAAAAAAAAAAGAAAAAGAAAAAGAAAAAAUAGAAAUAAUAAGACGAAAAUACCCUUAAUGGGGUAAAUGUAUCACAGUUAGCAAACUUCGGGAUUUUUCACGUCACAAAACAAGUUUGGGCUUUUUGGUGGUUUUUUCCCUUUUUUUUAUUCUCUAAAUUUUUAUUAUACAAUUUUUAAUUCUUUUCCAGAUGUGACGCUAGGCAGAGUCAACUUUUGCUUGGAUAGAAGUUUUGUAUAAAUGCAUAGCCAUGCUAUUAAGCCAUGCUAUUAAUAUUAAGUAUUUUGAUUUAAGUUUUUUUUCUUUCUAAGAGGUGGAAUAGAAUUUUAGUUGUCAAAUCAAAUGACUUAAUAAAGAAGUUCAUCAUAUAAAUUUAAUUAGGAUUCAAUUGUACUAUUUAAAAGUAAGUUUUAGGUGAAUUGCAUUUGCUUGAUGAAUUUUAGAAUUUCUGAGGUAGGUAUCCCUUUGUGUAAAGGCAAUGCUCAUCUAUGAAUAUAGUCCAGUGAAAGUCUAUGGUACUUUAACAGAUGAAAGCGGGUGAAGCUUUCAUGACUGGUAGGGAAACUGGAGGCCAUCCCAUCCUAUGGAGGUGAUGAGAGGAGAGGUUUUUAUCAGUAGAGAUAAUACCUGCACCCGCAGAAAUCAUUACACUCUAAUGAAACUAAAACGUCAAAACAUUUAAGCCAAUGACUCAUGAAACAUGACUCUGCAUCUGUCCAAUCUUUUUAUUGCUCAUAAUAGAAAAUCACAGAACUAAAAGUACAGUUCUGUGAAACACCAGACUGGUCAGCAUCUCCAACUUUGAUGAUUGAAGACGACCCUUCAGAGAAAAUCCCACAUAAAACAUCGACCAAAGGACAGAAACAACAACAAAAUACGAUUACCAACUCAUAUAGAAAGGGGUAGAAAAGGUCUAAUGUUAUGGUCCCCCAGCACCAGAUAAUUUUAAACUAGAGCCUGGGCUUCACUGCUGGUUCCUCAUGGCAAGAACCUUGGCCAAAGCCGGCCGGGUCAUGAUGUCGGCCACCCAAGCGCUCACCUUGGGGCGGGCGUCGAACAGCUUCUUCACAUGGGUCCCCAUCAGGUUGGUCAGGACUGGGAGGUGGUGGAGGUCGGCCAGGGUGAAGCAGUCGCAGCCCAAGUACUUGGACUGGCUCAACCGGGCCUCGUAGAUGUCGAGGACCUUGGCGAGCUUGGCCUCGUUCUCCUCGACUACUGCGGCGUCCGUGGCCAUGCCGAACAUCGGCUUAAACAGGAGCUCCCACUGCAGCUUCGACCCCACCGGGUCAAACUGGUGGGCCUCGACCUCCAUCCACACGCCCAAGGUCGCCAUGGGUUUGCCCUCGCACACGAGGGGAGUGCCCUUGUCCUUGUAUACAUUAGCUAUGUAUUGAGUAAUUGCCCUUGAUUCUGCCACCACAAAGAACAAAAUCAAGAUGUAAACCAUGCUUCGCGUAGUUGUUUCUUGUUCAGUUGACGAAUUGAACACUCAAAGAUUGACUAAACACUUGAUCCUUCAUCAUGGUCGCAUGAUCUAUCAGCAAUCGAAUCAGCACCCUUUUGACUAAAUACUUUCAUCUUUCAUGAUGGUCACACAGUAUAAUACACCACGAACAGAAAGACUUAC
This 26292-nucleotide long non-coding RNA is filed under the name Eucalyptus grandis. RNAcentral's name for it is "long non-coding RNA (EGRA_LNC004647)". The stretch from base 17086 to 17159 matches the Rfam family "tRNA". Lineage: Eukaryota; Viridiplantae; Streptophyta; Magnoliopsida; Myrtales; Myrtaceae. The record is from RNAcentral.